GACGAACGCUGGCGGCGUGCCUAAUACAUGCAAGUCGAGCGAACAGACGAGGAGCUUGUUCCUCUGACGUUAGCGGCGGACGGGUGAGUAACACGUGGAUAAUCUCCCUAUAAGACUGGGAUAACUUCGGGAAACCGGAGCUAAUACCGGAUAAUAUCUUGAACCGCAAGGUUCAAUAGUGAAAGACGGUUUUGCUGUCACUUAUAGAUGGAUCCCCGCCGCAUUAGCUAGUUGGUAAGGUAACGGCCUACCAAGGCAACGAUGCGUAGCCGACCGGAGAGGGGGAUCGGCCACAUGGGAACGGGACCACGGUCCAGACUCCUACGGGAGGCAGCAGAAGGGAACCUUCGGCAAUGGGCGAAAGCUUGACGGAGCAACGCGGCGUGAGUGAUAAAGGUCUUCGGUUCGUAAAACUCGGUUAUUGGGGAGAAACAAAUGUGUAAUUAAAUAUGCACGUCGUGACGGUACGUAAUCAGAAAGCCACGGCUAACUACGUG
This 497-nucleotide ribosomal RNA is filed under the name uncultured bacterium. Its description in RNAcentral is "partial 16S ribosomal RNA". It matches the Rfam family "Bacterial small subunit ribosomal RNA", at positions 28 to 507 of the family's 1533-position model. The record is from RNAcentral.